UAGUUUUUGAGAAAAUUGAAAAAUUAUUUUAUCAGAUUUUUCUUUUUUCAAAAUAUUUUUUGUUUUUAUUUGUUUUUAUUUUUCAAUUUUCUCAUAAACUAGAAGACACAGAAACAUAUAGUUUUCUCUGUUCUUUAAGGAAUCAAUUGAGGCAGUUUUCUGUGUGAGUAAUUUUUUUACUAAAAUUCACAGUCUGGACAAAAAUAGUAUAAAAUGAGUUUAAAAAAAUUUUUUUUUUGAAUUUUCUCAAUUAUCAAAUCCUGGCGCCCAAGUUAUCUACGUGCCAAAACAACAUUUUUGUUCUAUACCUAAAAGUUCGAAUUUCUGUAUCUGGGUUGAAAUCGAAAAAUUUUUUUUUCUAAGCCAAUUUUGAAGUGAUUUUCAUAAAAAAUACCUCGAUUGAUUCAGAAAUAGAAAUAGUUUUAGAAUAUAUUUUUUAAAUAGCAUGUUGUUUUGAAAACAUAUACUUUAAAUUGAUGCCGUAGUUGGGCAAAUGACGAAAAAAAUGGAAUUUUUAAACUUUGAUAGCUUAUUAGUUCUAAGUGGUUUAACCGAGUUACAUGUUUAUACAUUGUUGAAAAGGUAUAUUUAUAUUCUAUCAGAAACUGUAAAAAAAUCGAAAAUGGGUAAAAAAUUGUCGAAGCUAGAAUUUUUUCAAUGGGUGAAGGUCCAAAAAACCGUUUUUUGCCCGUAACUCCAGAUUUUGGGGGUGUUAGGGGAUUUUCAAAUACCGUUUCGUAUUCAGUACGACUAACUCUACAAAACCUGAUAGGUCUCCGCCCGCGUAUAUUUUGAGUGUUACACCGUGAUAAUUAACAUGAACAUAGUUAUUUUUAAUUAAACAACUGAGCUGUGCCCCAAAUACGUCAAAAACUAUUGAAAAGAGGGGCCAGCCUAACCAACUGAGCUGUGCCCCAAAUGCGUCAAAAAUUAUUGAAAAAAAAAUCUUAGUCACCAAAAAAUCAAAUUCCCCAAAGAAAAAUAUUUAUGAAGACAAAACUUUAAGGAAAAAACUAAAUUUGGAUAACAACGAGAAGCCCCAGAGAAAGGUAUAACGCUUAAAAAUAAAAGUAGGACUCCUUCUCGUAAAGGUAUUAAAAAUCGUAUUUCGAUUUUUAUUUUCACUUUUCUUCUACGCGAUUUAAAAUAAAAAAAAAAAAACAAAAAGUUUUUGUUGGCAUAGGUCGAUGAUAAUAUAAUAUAAUACACUAGCCCAAAAAAUUAAAGGAACAAAAAAAAAUCGUGAUUAUUUUAGUGAUUUUCGAUAGGCUGUAUCUCAGUAAAAAAUAAACGCAUCAUGAUAAAAUAAAAAGGAUGUGAAAGCUCUAUUCUUCUAGUUUUAGGAUUAAAUAUUAAAAUAUUUUUUUUCUAACGGUAAAAUAGCAAAAUUGUUGGAAAUGUUCAAAAACCAAAAUUUUCUAAUUUUUUUUUGCUUUUACUUCUCUCAUAGGGAAGUGGGAAAAUUUUUUCUGAUAAAAUGAUUAUUAUUUUUAGAAAGGUUUUUUAUUUGGCUUUAGAAUUCCUUUUGUUUCAAACUUCUACGAUUUUUUUUACACUGCAAUAUCAGUCAUCAAACCAAAAACCAUACUUUUGACUUUGACUAUCAAUAUCUCAACAACGGAUCAUUAAACAGAAAAUUUAAGGACACAUUAAAAACUUCAUUCAAUUCUCUACAAAGAAAUUAAGUUUUCUUUGUAAAAAAAAAUGUUUUCUUAUUUUUGAGAUUAAUUUAGGAAAGCUAUCAAAAUAGACAUUUUUACGGUUUCUUAGAAAAUGUACCGCUAUUUAAUUUCUAUGGGUGAAAAGAUUAAACUGAGGCUUAAUUAUUGAAGCUUAAUAUACCUGAAAUUAAUAUGCAAAGUUUCAGGCUAAUUCAUCAAGCAGUUUUUCUGUUGUGAAGGUUUGAACUUUUGAGAUGAAGUAAAACACCAUAUUUCUGAAGUUCGAAAUGACUUUUUCUUGUUACUUUUUUAUGAGCAAAAUCAAUUUUUUUUUGAGUUUAUUUGAACAUUUUAUUGAUAAAUAUCGUUUAAAUUUAAGAUAAACCAAAGAAAAUUAAAAAAUUCAAAAUUAGGAAAAAUAUCCAAAAAUGGUAUAAAAAGCUUUUUUUUUAAAAUUUAAGUUUUUUUGAAAACUUUUAAUUUUUCUUGGUUUAUCUUAAAUUUAAACGAUAUUUAUCAAUAAAAUGUUCAAAUAAACUCAAAAAAAAAUUGAUUUUGCUCAUAAAAAAGUAACAAGAAAAAGUCAUUUCGAACUUCAGAAAUAUGGUGUUUUACUUCAUCUCAAAAGUUCAAACCUUCACAACAGAAAAACUGCUUGAUGAAUUAGCCUGAAACUUUGCAUAUUAAUUUCAGGUAUAUUAAGCUUCAAUAAUUAAGCCUCAGUUUAAUCUUUUCACCCAUAGAAAUUAAAUAGCGGUACAUUUUCUAAAAAACCGUAAAAAUGUCUAUUUUGAUAGCUUUCCUAAAUUAAUCUCAAAAAUAAGAAAACAUUUUUUUUUACAAAGAAAACUUAAUUCUUUUGUAGAGAAUUGAAUGAAGUUUUUAAUGUGUCCUUAAAUUUUCUGUUUAAUGAUCCGUUGUUGAGAUAUUGAUAGUCAAAGUCAAAAGUAUGGUUUUUGGUUUGAUGACUGAUAUUGCAGUGUAAAAAAAAUCGUAGAAGUUUGAAACAAAAGGAAUUCUAAAGCCAAAUAAAAAACCUUUCUAAAAAUAAUAAUCAUUUUAUCAGAAAAAAUUUUCCCACUUCCCUAUGAGAGAAGUAAAAGCAAAAAAAAAUUAGAAAAUUUUGGUUUUUGAACAUUUCCAACAAUUUUGCUAUUUUACCGUUAGAAAAAAAAUAUUUUAAUAUUUAAUCCUAAAACUAGAAGAAUAGAGCUUUCACAUCCUUUUUAUUUUAUCAUGAUGCGUUUAUUUUUUACUGAGAUACAGCCUAUCGAAAAUCACUAAAAAAAUCACGAUUUUUUUUUGUUCCUUUAAUUUUUUGGGCUAGUGUAUUUCAAGGUUAUUUCGAUCCAACAAAACGUUUUUUGUUGGCGUAGGUCGCGGUAAAAAUAUUAUUUUUUUUUGCAUAAAUACUUUUUUUUUGUUGGGAAUCGUAUAAUAAUAUAAGGUUGGGUUAAUUAGCUCCAGUAUUUUCUGAUAGUUUUGUGGAUAGAACAGAAAGGUCUAAAGAUCAAUUGAUAGAAGAAAUCCUUCAAUUGGAAAAACGAUCCAAAGACCAAGGUGACGAAAUUCAGAAUUUCAAUUAGGUACCAUCUGUUAUGGGAACUAAAGGUGAUCACAAGUAGUUAGACAUAUUCACUCAUUUACUCACAGUUAAGUUUGCAGUGGGGUAAAUUUACGCGACUCGAAACUACCGACGUGGUUUGGAAUUAGAACAUUCCACGGAAUCAGAGGUUUUAAAAAACAAACUAAGAAAUAAAAAAGUCUGGUUGCAAAUUCCCGAGAAUUUAAAAACGGUUGAAAAAGAAGAUAAUCCCGUCAUGUCAAACGAAAAAAUUGUUAAAAUUGUUGCCCAACUGGUCCCACAGUUCUCGGGGGCAAGAACGCCUAACUUGUCUUGCCAAGUUUAUGAGUUCCUAAAUGCUUGCGCUUUUGGUUGAAAUGUAUCGACGCAGAACACGAAACAAAAUACGUGUCAAUACUUUCAACAAGACUGAUUGGAGAUGCGUGUGAACUGGUAAGGUCAAAAAAACCUGGUACUUUAAAGGAAUUGGAAACCUUGAUAAAAGAAACAUAUCUAUCUGUCCGAACGCUAGAUAGUGUGACUUAUGAAAUAAAACAGUCUCACCAACUAGCGACAGAAGAUAUACACGCCUUUGCCAGACGUUUGACGGGCCUCCAAACAAAGGCGGUCGAUAGGUAUAAUAGACGCAUAUUACCAAACCGCGGAUUCCGUAGUUUUAAAGAAAGAACUAAAAAACUCCAUCAUUACCAGCUUCAAGAUGGUGCUGUUGGAUUCAGCUUUGCGUCAAUUCAUGCUGACCGUAAGCGGGGAAGAUAUGCGGACACUGGCAGACACGGUGACCAAAACAUCCCAGCUACUUCCUCCCCAAUAUAGCGGUAACCUCUCUUUCCAUAACACCCCUUUCCAAUACAAGUCCCAGCUUCCUAAACAAACUUUGACGUACGACCAAAUGUGCGUACCACAACAAUAGCAACAUCCACAGUUUCCAAAAAGCAACCCUUUCUGGACAUGGGACAUGUCCCAAAGCACAAACUUUGUCACGGAGGCUAAAUCACGAAAGGUAAGGCAUAAAUGUGAUUGGUGUUCCAGAAUAGGCCACUCGGAAGAUGAAUGCUACAGUAAAAGGAAUUACCUAGCAAAAAAGGGGAGGGAAACGGAAAAGGGGCCAGCCUAAACAACUGAGCUGUGCCCCAAAUACGUCAAAAACUAUUGAAAAAAGGGGCCAGCCUAAACAACUGAACUAUGAACCAAAUACGUCAAAAGCUAUUGAAAAAAAAUCUUUGUCACCAAAAAAUCUAAUUCCCCAAAGAAAAAUAUUUAUGAAGACAAAACUUUAACUAAAAAACUAAAUUUGGAUAACAACGAGAAGUCCCCAGACUAAGGUAUAACGCUUAAAAAUAAAACUAGGACUCCUUCUCGUAAAGAUAUUAAAAAUUGUAUUUCGAUUUUAAGUAGGAACAAAAUACCUCCAACUAUUUCUCUUAAAUGUUUUAAAAAUUGUAUUUUUCCGAAACCUUCCUUCACAAUUGGAAGAAAGGUAAAAAAAAAAACAAGUAAGGAGUCUGUUUUUUAACUUAUUUUUACUAGCAUACUUUUAUGUAAAUGAAUAUAUAAUACAGAUAUCCAAUAAAUGUAAAAGUAUCUUCAAAACAAAUAGAUUUUGUGACAUAAAGCGAAGUCGAUUUUGUCUAAUAAAUAAGUUAAAUAAAAAACAACGUUUUCGUAGAAUUACCUUUUCCUGAGGCAAAAGGAGGUAAAGUUACUGUACUCGUAGAUGCAGGUGCAGAUUUAAUCCUUUUAAAAAAUAGCGUUUUAAAUAAGAAAACCAAAUUUUGUUCAAUAGAAAUACGAAAGUUAGGUUGAGCAUUUGGUGGAAACAAUACAACUUUGGGUACAGUCCAAUCGUAUAAAAGUUUGGACAAUGUUUCCUUAAAAUGGCACAUUGUGGACGGUCUGACAGACAUACCCGCCGAUGGUAUCAUAGGCCGGGAUAUUCUUUAGAACCAUGCAAUAAUUGGCUCUGUUACCAAAACACUUGGCAAAAAUCCUUGUGUCAAACCCUCCUAGUGGGUGCCGGGCGGGAAUGAUCACCACAGUUUUUUAUCUUGUGCGUUUUUGGCAAGAUGAAGAUCAGCUAAGGUCAGGUUUGCAUAGCUGUGUUGUUCCUUAACUCCUCAAUAGUUAAACAACCACAAAUGCAAUUUUACCAUCGAUACAAGGUUCCCAAUUUUCAGUGGUGGGGUGAGCGUUGUCAUAAUCCGUGCCGAAGAAAUGGAAGGCUGGGGGAUAAGCCAGUCGAGAACGAGCUCUUUCGGAUGCCUUGGCAGGAUCCGUCAUAAUUUUUGCCUUUUCCCGGUAAUCGGCUCUGCCGGGGUUGACCUUUCCGACCUACUCGUGGGACUUCAAUUUAAAAAAUCAAAUUAAAAAUGGACAAAAAUGACUACAGACCUUACGACAUUCGAGAUGGAGGAUGUACUUCUGUCCUCGAGCCAGGAGACAAUCGAUGGUUGUUCAGAUGAUGCUGGAGGCACUAGCAUUUCUGAGCAACCUUCAAAAACUGGAAGUGCAGGCGGUGCCAGCGGUACCUCUGUAUUUCGACCCGAAUUAAACCCUAUAAAGCCUUUGGGUAGCAAAGCCAGCCAAAGCGAUGCUACCCGGCGUAAGAGAAGAUCAGCGAGUUCGCAUCGGAGAGCGGAUUUCAAUAGGGCAUCCUUCAUUCUUAGCAAGAUUGCUAUAAAUGAGGAAGCUGGAACUCCGCAGGAAAACGAUGCUGCUUAUAAGAUCAAAUAUGGGAAGAUUGUUGAGGAGUACAACAAUCUUCUCAUUGAGCCAAAAAAGUCCGUUAAGAGACUUAGAUCACCUGAGGAAGCUAAUCCUCCUCAGAAAAAGUCUAAAGCAAACGGCACCAACAAGAAAGCACCAUCUCAGGGAGCGGUGCAAUCGUGCACUUUAAGUGAGAUUGUCAGAGACGAUCUUCAAGUGGCGGUUGUAGAUGAGCUCUCCACUGACAACAGAGCUCUGAUGUCAGUGUGGAACUCCAUCGAGGCUUAGCUUUCUGAGAUGGUCUAACCUUCUGAGGAUCUACGAGGUCAUUCGUGGGGCUCUCGAAAAAGCCGAUUUCAAGCUACGUUUUGGUAUUAGGAAUGCCAAGAUAUAGAUUCUGCAGAGUCAGGAGAUGGACCCUAACCUAGUUGAGAAUACUAUCGAGGAUGACGAUGUCCUCAAAGAGGCAGAGUUCUCCGGCAAGGAGCUGGUAACUGACUGUAGAAUCUAUUCCAAAUUAAAAACAUGCUGCGCUUCAUUCAGGUUAAUCUGAAGCACUAAAUGUGCUUCAGAUAACCUAAGAGUUUUCCUGAGGGAGGAAAACUUUGAUGUGGGCAUUAUUCAAGAGCCCUGGGUUAAUGGCCUCCGAGUAAGGGGCCUUAAAGACAGCCAAUACGACCUUUUUUACAAGCCCGUCAGUUCAAACCAAGGUAAGCCAAGAACUUGUAUUUUAGCUAAAAAAACACUUAAAAGCUUUUUUGUGUCCUAAUCUAAGCACCUCUGAUUUGACCGUUGUCAAAUUGGAGGGUUCAAAUACUAAGGGUUUACUCUUGGCCUCUGCGUACAUGGCACACGACCAGCAGUCACCACCGGAGGAAGUACGCAGGCUGACAGCUCAAGCCAGUACCAUGAAGACAAGUCUACUCAUCGGGUGUGACGCAAAUGCACGUCAUACUCUGUGGGGUAGUUCUGAGAUCAAUGAACGAGGUGAGUCUUUAUUUGAUUAUAUCAUUGAAAUAACCUUCCUCUCUGCAAUAGAGGUACUACUCCAACCUUCACUUUCCCGAGUUCGGGAAAUUAUGAAGGAUGGAAGGAUGUACUAGACAUUACCAUUAUAAACAACUACUCCAAUCUGCAGGUAGAAAACUGGAGAGUAUCCCCUUUAAAAACCUUUUCAGAUCAUAGUUGGAUUCUCUUCCAACUCAAAUUUGAAACUAAAACCCCACCCUCUUAUAGAAAUCCAAAAAGAAUUGACUGGAAGAAUUUCGGUCAAGUUUUUAGUGCAAAACUACGCAGUAUACCCAAUCUGAGUACAGAUACGGUUGAAGAUCUUGAAUCAAAGGUUAUAACCUUUGAAAGAUCGAUGAUUACUGCCUUUAAAGUCUCGUGUCCGGUGAGACAUAGCAGCAAAACAUUUCCUCCUUGGUGGAAUGAAGACUUGUCUAAUCUGAGGAAAAUGACUAGAACAAUCUUCAACAUCUACCACAAAUACAAAUUUUAUCAACCCUAUAAAGAUUGCUUAAAAGUCUAUAAGCGUACUAUAGCUUUAGCCAAAAAAGAAAGCUGGGAGGAAUACUGUCAUUCCAUAGAAGAUAUUACCUAAGGAUUCCGCCAGGUUAAGCAAGGUUUUAUCGAAAGAACACUCUAAUCCCUCGUUUCUUAAAAAGCCUGACGGAUCCUGGACAAUAUCUCCAGCUUAAUCCUUGGAACUACUAAUGACUACUCACUCCGGGGUGCGUAGAUAGCACCUCUGAAGUGAACAUAAAUCCCAGCUUGCCUUGCUAUCAGUUACGACAGAGCGAGUAAACUCCUUGAUAACAAGAGAAAAUAUAGCUUCGGCUAUUAACACUUUCUCUCCGUAUAAAUCCCCAGGCCCUGAUGGUAACCUGCCUAUUAUGCUGCAAAAUCAGCAAGUGAUAGCAGUUCCAUGGCUUGAAAAAAUUUUAAAGGCUGCCUUCUUCUUAAUCAUGUUCCCAAGUCUUGGAGACAAGUUAGCGUGGUUUUCAUACCCAAAGUGGGCAAAAGAGGACAUGAAUCCGCGAAGGAUUUCCGGCUAAUAAGUUUAACAUCUUUCUUACUUAAAACCUUAGAGCGAAUCUUGGAAACUCAUAUUAGAGACAUUUUCAAAAGAUGUCCUUUAGCUAGUUCGCAGCACGCUUAUAUGAGGGGCAAAUCUAUGGAAACAACCCUCCAUGAAGUCGUUAGAACAAUUUAGAACUCGAUCCACUUUAAAGAAUAUACCCUAGCUACCUUCUUAGAUGUAGAGGGAGCUUUUAACAAUGUCCUAACCGAAUCUAUUCUCGAGGCCCUAGUGACUUUUUAAGUAGAAGACUACAUCAGAAGUUGGAUUAUUUCAAUGCUAAAAAAGAGAAGAAUUCAAGCAAGUUUAGGAAAUUCAAACUGUUUUAAGUGCGUCAACAGGGGUACGCCUCAGGGUGGCGUUCUUUCCCCCCUUGUAUGGCUCCUUCUCAUGAACAAUAUCCUCGUGAAGCUUGAGAGAAGUGGAGUGAAGGCAGUGGCAUAUGCGGAUGAUCUGGUUGUACUUGUAUCAGGAAAAUUUUUACCCGUGGUCAGCGAGAUCACUGACACGGCUUUGAGAAAAGUUAGCAACUGGGCUACAAGCUGUGGCCUAGGAGUUAAUCAAAGUAAAACGGAACUGAUGUUUUUACAACUAAAACCAAAAUCCCUGCCUUCCCUCUACCUCAGCUUAACGGCCAAAUCUUAUCACUUUCUUCUAGGGCAAAAUAUACUCAUCAAAACAAAAUAAGGGCCACCACUAAUAUUCAAAUUAUUUUGUGUUUUACAAAAGAAAUCCCGUUGAUGUUGAUUAAUAUCAAUAAAACAAUAAAUAUCUCAUUUAAUUUCAUAAAUUUGAAUGCUAUUAAGAAAACAACACUUUAAUUUGUAUUUAUUUUUCGGUUUUUAUCACUUAUUAAGCUUAAUUACACCUUGAAUAAAAUUUAAUUUUAAAGUCUUAACAAUGGUUAUGUUGCUCAACAUUGUUAGUUUAAUAAUGUGUAUGUCCUCCUCUUUUCAAAAUGCAUUCUUGGAGUCUUGAUGGCAUGCUCCGAAUCAGAUGGUGGAUGUUUUCAUCCGGAAUAUCCUCCCAGCACCUUUUCAGCAAUUGAAUCAGCUGUUUUUGAUUGUGUACAUCUUCUUCAGCUGCCCGGACUCGACGUUUUAAUUGGUCGCAAAGGUGUUCGAUGGGAUUUAGAUCAGGGCUGUAGGCAGGCCAAUAUCGGCUUCCUCCAGGGCAGUGAUAGUCUUCGGGCUGUGUGUGGUCGUGCAUUAUCCUGCAUAAGGAUGAAACCAUCCACCGUGCAAACGGGAUGAUAUACGGAUUGACAAUCCGUUGGAUGUAACUUAGAGAAGUCACAGUGCCUUCAUUAAGAAAAAUAAGGUCAGUUUUACCUUGUAAAACUGACUGACUAUAUAAGGACCACCAAAUCUGUCACUUUCAUCAAUGCAAGGAUCAGAAAAUCUUUCUCUUUACUUUACACUCAUCCGUGAAAAGCACCUUACGUCAUUCCUCCGCAUUCCAUUGAAGAUGUUGGCGUGCAAACCUUAAGCGAUUUGCACGAUGAGUCCGGGUUAGUUUGAUGCGCGUUACAGGUUUCCGCGAGCGUUGCUGAUCUUCGUGUAAACGAUUCCUAAUGGUCUGGUCACUAACAAGGGUACCACAGUAGUCCGGAGUAAUCGGUUUUGUAAUGCGCGCGGUCACAGUCCGAUCUCGUCGCGCACUAAGUCGCACAUACCGGUCCUCCUGAACAGCGGUAGACCGAAUUCUUCCCGAACCAGGAGGACGUGAUACACUCCCAGUCUCCUGAAAAGGUUUUGGAUAGCUCGUCGUGAACAUCCCAAUUGUAAGGGCACGAAACGUUGGGAAACAGUGUCCAAAUGACGUUGGGAUCUUGACAUUUUACACUUUAAUGAUUAAAUUACUCGUUAAACUUUUAAAAACAACCGAAUCAGUUAGAAGAAUUGCCUUAAAGUAAGCCAAAAUCAAUUAACAAAAAUUCAGCUUUUCACGAUUUCAGACGCAAUUAAUUUUAAACAUACGCGGAAGACAAAUAACACCUGAGACUUUAAUUUAACCGUUAAAUUAAUACUGGAGAACAAAAUGGCAUUCAUAAAAAAUUAAUAUCGGAAUGAUAUCUGGAAAAAAUAACGGAAAAAGCAAAAAUUUUCUCGUGGCCCUUAUUUUGUUGAGUAGCAUAUUAAGGUGUAAUUUUAGACACUAAACUGAGCGGGAAGCUAAAUAUAGAAGAGCGGGUUAAGAAGGCGAGCAUUGCUUUAAAACCUGCAGUAAAACCUUUGGGAAAAAAUGGGGUCUUAAAUCAAAAAUGAUUCUAUGGACUUACACAGCGGUGGUACGACCCAUUCUUACUUACGGCGCCAUUGUUUGGUGGCCUGCACUGAGUAAAGCAUAUAACAUCAACAAACUUAAAAAAAUCCAAAGAACAGCAAGUGUAGGGACGACUAGAGCCCUCCGGUCGUGCCCUACUGGGGCCCUAAACGUUCUCUUGCACCUUUUACCCAUAGACCUUCAUAUAAAAUAGCAGGUCUCGUGUAGCGUUUUAAGGCUAAAAGAAACAGGCUGUAGGAAGGCAAAACCUUUUGGUCACAGUGACACAGCAAAUUUAAUACCAUCGGAUAUGCUUCUGACACCCACGGACUACUGCACUCCUAUUUUGAAUACUGUAAUGAAUUGCAAGGUCAGCUUCCCGUCGAGAUCAGACUGGGAAGGGGGCAUUGUGACGAGAGACUUCGACACCUGCAUUUUCACUGAUGGCUCAUAAAUGGAUUGUGGGGUCGGUGCGGGUGUCUACUAUGAAUCCCUCAAUAUCUCAAAAUCCUUUCGACUACCAAAUUCUGCCAGUGUAUUCCAAGUGGAACUGCUGGCAAUUAAAGAAGCUUGCAAAUUACUUAGCCUAUAACCAAAUCAAAACCAACGCAUAGCUACACUAACAGAUAGGCAGCUAUAAAAGCAAUUGCUUCGGUCACGACAUCCUCCAAAUUAGUUCAGCAGUGCAGAGAGGAACUCUCAUUGCCUCACAAUCACUCUCAUCUGGAUCCCAGGUCACAGUGGUUUUGAAGGCAAUAAAAAGGCGGAUGAACUGGCCAGGCAAGGAUCGGCCCUUCAUGAGUCACUAGCAGAAAAAGUUAACAUCCCCAUGGGAGUCAUGAAGGGCGAUAUCUUCUUAAAAUACCUAACAAAAGCUAACAAUAGGUGGCACAACUUGACUAGCUGCGUCAUAUCCAGAAAAAUCUGGCCCACCUAUAAUAAAUUCAAAACAUAUGAUCUAAUCUAGACCUAGAAAAGAAAUUAGCAGGAUCGCUGCGGUAUGUACGGGACAUUGGGCGAUAAAAGAACACGCAGCAAAGCUAGGUAUUUCUUACAAUACCUUUUGUCGCAGUUGUUUGAAUCAGCAGGAAAAAAAAACGGUAUUCCACUUCCUAUGCCAAUGUGCUGCCCUUGCUAGAAGUAGAGUGCUCUCUCUGGGCAGUGAAGUUUUCAACGAUAUAAAUAACAUCUCACAAUUAAAGAUCAAAGACUUGAUCUCAUUCCUCAAUGCAACGAAGUGCUUUUAGGCUAGCCUAAACACUUGUUUGUAUUGAAAUCACAUUAUUUCAAUUAAUCCAUUUAUAACUCAUAUGUUUCACAAGUUUUGGUAUCAAAACGCAUUCUGCGCUAAUUGGGUCAUCAAGCUAGGCUGCUUAUGACCGCCAUCUCUACCUUCCUACCUACCUACCAAAACACUAAAAUUUUUGGACAACAACAGAAAGCUGGUUUCGGGUGCAAACGCAAGACAAGAUAAAUCGUUCAAUUUUUAGCGUUACAGAACAGGAGCCGAAUAAACGAAUCUCUAAGCUCCUGACAAUAUCGUUUGCCUCAGAUUGCUAGAGAUGAGAUUAAUAAACAGGUAAGCGAAAUGCUCGAAGAUGAUAUAAUCUCACCUAGCAAGUCACCAUGGAACUCACCUCUUUUGGUAGUCCCGAAAAAAUCCGGACCUGAUGAUCAAAAGAGAUGGCGAGUUCUGGUCGAUUUUCGUAAACUGAACGAGGCUACGACUAAAGACGUUUUUCCUCUGCCAUGAUUAGAAGAUAUUCUUGACCAGUUAGGAAAUUGCCGUUAUUUCUCAACCCUUGACCUGGCAAGCGGCUACCACCAAGUUCUAAUCGACAGCAAAGAUAGAGAAAAAACUGCUUUUAGCACAGGUUUGGGACAUUAUGAGUUUAAUCGGAUGCCUUUUGGUCUUACUGGAGCACCACCAACGUUCCAACGGAUAAUGAACUACAUUUUAACUGGUUUUCAAGGAAUUGACUGUUUUGUCUACUUGGAUGACAUCGUGAUCUUUAGCCCGAAUUUGCAUGAUCACAAUGAAAAGUUGAUGCGAGUUUUUGCGAAGCUCAAUACCGAAAAAUGUAAUUUUUUGUGUAAAGAAGUCGUUUAUUUAGGUCAUGUAUAUUCAGAGAACGGUGCCACCCCUGAUCCUUCUAAGACAAGUUUUGUUAAGAAUUUUCCUGUUCCGAAAAACAUCAAAGAAGUUCAAUCAUUUCUAGGUUUUGCUAACUAUCAUAGAAAAUUUAUACCUAUCUUUGACAAUUUGACAAUAAAAUUACUCGCAAUAAGUUUGAAGUAAGCAAUAUAAAUAUGCGAACCAAAUUGGAAAACAUUCACUUCACGUUCAAGAUACAAAUGGCUAAAAUUAGUUCUUUUAUGACCAUUUCAUACCAAAAACGUAGUAGGUUUGCAAACAAAUACUUACAAUUGAUAAAAUAUUUUCCAAAUAUUUGGGUCAUCAAUGCUCAAAACAGUCCAAAUGAGAAAAACCUUAUAAACCUGAUUCCAGGCCUGAAUGUUUUUUACUACUGGAAUAAAAUAAGAACCCCGAAUAAGGAGAAAUAUUUCAAAAAAAGUAAAGGGGACAUUUUCAACAAAAAAAAAUAGAGUUAUAGGCAAUAGCGGAUAAUAAGGGUAUGGACUGCCGCGUCGCGUCGGAGCCAUAUUGUACACUGGUAAACUAUUUGAAUUAUAACAAAAUCGCAGACAGUUUCCAAGAAGAUUUGACUACAUUUUAGUGAAAUGUUGUUCAAACGUGGGUCGUUACAUUUCAGAAUGUUUUUCUUUUCUUUAAAUCUUAUAAGAUUCUAAGCUUCCAACAUUCAAAAAGUUUGCUCUAAAAAAAUUAGAACCCGUAUCUUCCCAUUGUACCUGCUUGGGUACAGCUUAAUAAACAUAUUAGUUACUUUUUUUUUAAAUUAAAACUAGGUAAUACAUUGCGCAUCUUGUCACUCAUACAAACAAAGAAGAUCAAAAGUGAGUAACUGCCAAAUUCCAUGUGUGUAAUAAAAAAACUACUACUGCUACUAUAAUAAAAAAAAAAAUGUAAACAAGAGAAUUGAGCAAUAAGAACAACAGAAAAGUGACAGUUCCUCUCCUUUGAGCUCCGAUUUUGACAACCUGCGCGAACUUGAAAAAAAUGAAAACUCGGAAUAUAUUUCCUUGUAUAUGUGUACUGUGGGUCCAAACGAUAUAAGAUCAAUUGUGAACGAUUGUAUAACCGAACACCAUAAACAUAUCGUAGCCAAAGAUGACAUCUCGGCCAUAUCCAAGGAAAUACAAGAUCUUCGAUCACAAAAUGCUCAUCUGAUAGAGCGAGUCAUUACCGUUAAAAAUGACUGUGAGACACUUCCCUGCAAACCAAACCUCAGUAGUUUAGGGGAAAAUACAACCACCAACAAAGCUUAUUUUGAAGAUGUAUGUGUUUCCUUAUUUACCAAAAUCUCUCCCCUCCAAAAAUAGAAGUUUUGUUUCUCUUGAAAAAAUAAACUCUUCUUUGAUAAAUGGGAGGAAAAGAGCGCGAUGUAUGCAAUGCACAAAGUUUUGUCUCUUUUGUAAUUGCGGCUCGCGUUUGAUUUGACUUUUCCUACAUUUUAUAUUUUCUAGUGAAACCAGUAAAACCUUGAUAGCCACAGCCACAGCAACAUCAAAAAAAUGUUUCGCUGCUCCAUUUGAAGAAUAAAAAUAAAAACAAUUUAAUUUAAAAAAUAUAUAAUCUUCUCAGUGUUGAGUGUUAUUUGUGAAAACUAUUUUCUCUAAACAAUAUCUACCACACAAAUUCUUCGGCACGCCACAAAAAUUUAUUUCCACCAUCAAAAUGCACAGCCUCAGCCUUGUGCAUUUAGAAAAAAAAGUAAUACAAAAAUGAUACAAAAACAACCACCAAUUGAUUUAAAAAAUAAAGUGGCGAUCAAUUCCAGACAUCAUUGACUGAGUUUACAGCAGCUUCAGCCUUGAGCAUUUAGAAAAAAAAAAUCAAAACAAGAUACAAAAAGUACCACCAAAGUGCAGACUGCAGAGUAUUUUUUUCUUUUUCAUUUUUCUCAACUGGCCAGGCCACAAUGGCGUGCCCAAGGAUUUUUUUUAUGUAUUUUGUUUUCAAAAAAAAACUAUUUUGUGUUUUUCCAAUAAAAUAUUAAAUAAAAGUUGUUUAAAAGAAUUGUUUGUUUGUUUUGAAGAUUUUUUUUGUUUUCAGAUGAAAUUAAAAUAUGGAUUUUAGCAGUACGGAUAUAAACCCAUGAAAGUGCUCCAAAUAAGUACUUUAAAAGUACAAGUUUCAGUGCUUUUUCUGUAGGUAAAAAAGUACUGGAAAAUGUACAUCAGAACCACUUCCAGAAGUGCUUCGCUGAUGCACUUUUUGAAGUACAUUUGUCUGUACUAUUAAUGGAGGGGAAAUUUAUUUCUUCUUGCAUGCAAGAAAGAGAUAGCUGCUUCACGUAUUCUUAUAUACAGAAAGUAUAUAACUGAGUUUUUUCCCGAGCUCCUAUCUUUUUUCAGUGGAAAAGAAGUACUUCUUUUACGUACAUAUUUCACCGGUUUUUUCUGUAGCUCUGCGUUUGCUGGGUUGAGAGACAACUCGAAAUUUUAUAACAAAAGUGAAAUGAGAACAAUGUCGUUUUGCAUUUUCCUUCAGAUGAGAAGACAAACAAACUUGAAUUUGCUACACAAACCUGUUUAAGCCUUCUCAAUCUUCAAGAAAAUACGAAUUUUCCCUUAAAAGUAACCCACAAACCAAAACACGAAAAAAACAUUAAUACCAUGUGAUACAUUUGACACUUCACUUUUACACCUUCGGGUAAGGGUUCAAAAAUAUACCCGAGGUAGGUAUGCCUGUCGUAAGAGGCGACUAAAAUCCGUAUACUGACAUAUACAAAAAUAUGGAAUGAAUAAAUAAGAAAGAUUUGAUGAUUUUUUGGAAAAUCCACCCUCUUCGGAGGUCGGCUCUAUGGAUUCUGGGGAGAGCCAAUUAUUCCAAUUCGAACGCCUUAUUAAUUACUUUUCAAGAAAAAACUUGAUAGCUCGAUCACCACCACCAACAUCGAGUGCAACCGGGCAAAAGAGUCUGCCUAAACUGCCAGAGCGUGCAAAAAAAGACUCAGAGAAAAAAGAAAGUCUUGCAAAAGACAAUAACGAUCAUCGUCAAGGACUCGACGGAACAUUUAAACUCUAUCAUGAGUUGAAAGAAGAAAUCAAUUUUCUAAAAAAAGAAAACGAGGCCUUAAGACUGGGUUCCCUUUUUCAGCAAAGUCAAAUCUCAUGUAAAAGCAUUUGUGUGUAUUAGUGAAUGUGUUUCGCUCUCUCGCCAUCGAAUUCUCUGGUUUUUUUCUCUCAGGAUGUUGGUUAUGGUUUUCAUUCAUUGUCUCUUUGUGAGAUCGCCAUCGCACUCACGCUUGCGGGGUGACAUGCAAGUGGAUGUAGGUAUACAUAGAUCUUUAUAUAGAUAUGGUGUUUAGGACGAAAACUGGUUUGAAAUUCUAUAUUUUCAUGAAAGAUUUCUGGAGUGUAUACCUAUUUAUUUUUGAAAUGAAAAAGAAACUUGUUUCCAUGUUGCUGUUGUGGAUGGCAUUUGAGUUUUUUGUGUAUCAGAGAAAUUUUUUGCAUUAUAAUAAUAAUUAUAGUUGUUCAGCGGAGAAGCAGGUAGAGGAUGUGUUAUAUGGGUGCAUUGAUAUAAUAUACUUGACAGUAUCCUUUGUGUAGUUUGUAUAAAAAUAUGAGUAGAUGCGCAGAAGGAUUGAUUUUCAGGUUCUUGCUCACUUUUGAGUUGUUCUUCGUUGAGAAAUUUUUUGUCUCGCACUCGCGCGUGCCGGCUGACAUGGAAAUGUAUUUACAUACAAUAUAUAGAAUGUUAAGGUUCUUAUGUGUAUGUUGUUUGAGGAUGGACUCGAUAUCAAUCCAAUUUACUUUCAACACCUUUUUAAUAAAGAUUUUAUUAGAGUCACCAAUGCAAUGAACUCAGUUCGUAACUGAAUCGAUUUUGUUUUUUAUUUACCUAUACCUACAUUAUUAGGAAACAAAAAUAAGGCAGCAUUAAUAACUUAUAAGUUACUUUUUUUUAAACCUUGAAAUUAAUUUUUCAAUUAUGUACCUAAUCAAAGUUUAGGGAAGUUUUCAAAAAUAAUUUUCAAGCUCAACACUUUGAAAAAAAAUGAUCUAUUUUUUCAAACUGAUAUUUUAUUUAUAAAUUCAGAUAGGCAUUAGCUACUUUUUUGCUUCUGUUUCCUCAGUAGGUGUAAUUUUAAAAACUUUUUUUUGCUAAGGAAACAUACUGAGCAUCUUCACCUAUUCAAAACUAUUUCUAUAAAUACCAUCAAGUGCAUUCUAACCACAAAUACACUUAUAUAACCCUUUACCCAUUCCCCCGCGAAAAUAUUACUUUUAUACCUACAAACCUACAAAAAAAAAACCCGAAUCCGCAACAUAUAAACAAAGACAAUGAAAAACAAAAGGACAUAUUUAUAUUAUAUAACCCCGCACGCACGCGCGAGUGUAGUAUAAUAAACAAUACAACCCAGAAAUCAACCUAAAUAUGGAAAUAAAUCAUUGUGCACAUGUCAAAUGUCAAUACACAUUUUUACACACAAACAAAUGCAUACCACAUAUCUAAUCCUUUACCUAUAUCCCCGCACGAGCAAUGUGAAUAUUACACAAUGCAAAGAAUUUCGCUGACACAAAAAAAAAACCCAAAAGUGUCAACUCGCAAGCGCGGGUGCGCUAUUAUAAACACGAAAUGAAUUGUUAGGAAAAACCCAAGAGUCAACAAGAACAAAACAACCCUUUUUGAAAACCAAAGAUAAUGAUCUUGCAAAAAAUAUCUACUAUCUACCUACUCUCUGCAUCAUCUUCAUAAUUUCAUGAAUGAUUUCUGCCUGCCUGAGUGAGGAAAUAGGAAACAAAAAAAAAGUAUUAUGUAAACACAAAAAAAAAAAAAACAAAAUAUAACGAGAAAAUGAGAGCGCAAGAGCAGGUUUUUUUUUUCAAUAAAUAGAAAAGAACAGAAAAAAAAGAGUUCAUCAGCGCCAGCUUAUGCGUGGCAUUCUUUUGAACUAAAUUUGCAUGUGUGCGUGAUCAAUGGAAUUUUCAAAGUAAAAAAAGCUAAAAUAGACACUUUUUCAACAAUUUAUAUUAAAAAUACUGUGAGCAAAAAUAUAUAUUUUUUUUUUGAAACUGAUUUGAAAUAUAAUGAAAAAAAAUAAUAAAAAUAAAUUGUGGAUGCUUUGACUGCCCCUUCCUCAAAAACAGAAUGCAAAUAUUGGUUUAUUAAAAUCAAAUUUUUAGUGUGUAAAUAAAAAAAAUAUUUUUUUUUGGCAAACGGGUUGCAUGAACAACUUUAUUAACUUCUCAUUAAAAAAUACAAAAACAUUUUAAAAAAUAAUCACGCUUUGCCCCACGACUAAAAUGCUAAAAAAGUGCAUUUUGACACCUUUCCUUCAAAUUAACCGUUCAAACUAACUUCAAAUUAAAUUAUUGGAUUCUCCUAAUUUCACUUUAUUGUUUCCUUUUUGUUUCAUCUAAAAACACUAAUAAACGGUAAAGUUAUUCUAAGAAGAGUGAGUAAAAAAGCAUGAAAUUACAACAAAUUAACGAAGCUUUUUUUCUAAUAAAAAAAAAAAAAAAAAAAUCUGUUUCACGUGUUGCAUGAAAACACAUUUGAUCAUUAUAAAACAAAAAAAAAAAAAAUAAAAAGUUUAUAAACAACGGUGCCCCAACCACAAUUCUGAUUCAAUCUAAAUUUGCAGGAAAAAAAUCAUUUUCGACCCAUAUAAAAAUCGCACAAGAAAUGUUUCUAAAAUUUAAAUGAUGCAAAAAUAUUCGUACGUUUAUUACCUUUUCAAAAAAGUACGUUUCAUAAGAUUAUCUUAUAAACUGCAAAAGUUAUACAACAAUUAGUCAACCAUCUUCCAUUAAAAUGCUAUGGAAACCCCCCCUUAAGAGUGGGUGUCCCCGAAUGACGAACUCAGACUUCAUGUAAAUGAGUUUGUGUGUAUUAGUGACCUUUCUUCUCCAUACAUCUCUCACGUUCAACGUCAUCUCAACUCAGUUCUCUCUCGGUAUCUUUAUUUGCAUUCUCUUUCCCUUUCUAGAGAACCAAAGUCAUAAAAUUAAAGUCUAUUUAGGUAGAAAAAACAAAUCAGCAUCAAGGAAAUAGCAAAAAAAGGGUUGCAAGCCUUGCAAGUGUAUAUUGCGGUUUUGCUUUGCGCAACAGACUGCCUGUCUUUCCAAAUUUUGUUUUCAUAGAAAAAAAUAUAUCCAUACAGUUGCUCAGAAGAAUACCUAACAUGCAACAUCAUAAAUUUAUGAAAGAGAUAAAUAAACCAGUUUAAAAAAAAAAAAAACAAGAAUACAAAAAAAAACUCGUUUAUCCUAUUCCAUAUACCUACCACGCAACACCAGAUACCAUACAUUGCAAACGUGCGAGAGAUCCAUUUCCUGUAUCCUCUCAUUUUCGCGAAAAAAAUACAACAACACUUUGCAUGCACUUAGCCUGGCGCCAAUCCUUUUUUAUGGAAAAACCUAUGUACAAACAAUAUGUAGAAUGCAGAUACCUAAGUUCAUCUUAUUCUUUAUACCACCAAACAACCACUCGACAGAGCGAGUGCGAGAGAUCAUGUAGAAACAAAAUAGAAGAUAAUAAAGAGAGAGAGACAACUAGCGCCAGCGGAAUUUGUUUGAACUACAAAUUCCAAUACAUACGCAUUCCAUGAAUUUCUGAGGAAAAAAUGGAAAGUAGGCUCUUUUUCAAAAAUUAAUUGUAAGAAAACUAUUAUAGCAAUUCUUAUUUUCUAACUUGAUAUUGAUAGAAAAAAUAAUGAAAAAAAAUAAAAAAAAUAUAACAAAAAAUCUAAAAAUUCAGGUUUCAUAGUACAGUUUAUUGUUUUUGGGACUACUUAAAAAGCGAUUGGAGGGUUACAAAAUAAUAUUUUCCAAUAAAAUAUAGUUUUACUCCAUAGUCCAUAAACUAAGCUUUUAAAUAAAAUAAAAAUCAAAUUCAUACUUUGAAAAACAAAGAAAUUAAACCACUUUUUUUUUAAAGUUAAGAAAAAAUGACUUUUUAGUAUUUUUUUGUUGUUUAAGACCUUAAAACUUAAUAUAAAUUUCUUAAACUAAUCAAUGUGUUAGUGUUUGAGUAGAGGUACUUAUUUCUUUUUAUUUCGAUGAAUUUUAUCAAUAAUUGCAGAAGUUAUUCAUGUUCAAGCAGGUGGCCAUGGCACAGAGGAAUAGGUGGAUGACUUCAGGGCCAGACAUCGUGGGUUCAAACCCAGCGGUCGGCUCAGAAGUUUUUUCUAAAUCGCCAGCUUAACUGAAGCCACCUGUGCGAUAACAUGAGACAAUUGUCAACGAUGUCUCCCCUCUGUGCCACGUAGUUAUGUGUUAUAUGUGUUUCUGUUGUUCUUUCUA
Long non-coding RNA from Episyrphus balteatus (marmalade hoverfly), 19690 nucleotides. RefSeq lists it as uncharacterized. The record is from RefSeq and is a predicted model, not a curated record. The transcript is spliced from 2 exons. Lineage: Eukaryota; Metazoa; Arthropoda; Insecta; Diptera; Syrphidae.